RNAcentral lists this ribosomal RNA (440 nucleotides) under uncultured bacterium. RNAcentral's name for it is "partial 16S ribosomal RNA". It matches the Rfam family "Bacterial small subunit ribosomal RNA", at positions 338 to 795 of the family's 1533-position model. The record is from RNAcentral.
CCUACGGGAGGCAGCAGUGGGGGAUAUUGCACAAUGGGGGAAACCCUGAUGCAGCGACGCCGCGUGUAGGAAGACGGUCCUCUGGAUUGUAAACUACUGUCCCCAGGGACGAAGAUGACGGUACCUGGAGAGGAAGCUCCGGCUAACUACGUCCAAGCAGCCGCGGUAAUACGUAGGGCGCGGGGGUUGUCCGGAAUUACUGGGUGAAACGGGCGCGUAGGAGGGGAUGCAAGUUGGCGGUUAAAUCUACCGGCUCAACUGGUAGUCGCACUCAAAACUGCAGCUCUUGAGUGAAGGAGAGGCAGGCGGAAUUCCUAGUGUAGCGGUGAAAUGCGUAGAUAUUAGGAGGAACACCAGUGGCGAAGGCGGCCUGCUGGGCUUUUACUGACGCUGAGGCUCGAAAGUGUGGGGAGCAAACAGGAUUAGAUACCCCGGUAGUC